RNAcentral lists this ribosomal RNA (635 nucleotides) under Nostoc sp. ISB100. RNAcentral's name for it is "bacterial SSU rRNA". It matches the Rfam family "Bacterial small subunit ribosomal RNA", at positions 34 to 714 of the family's 1533-position model. The record is from RNAcentral. Lineage: Bacteria; Bacillati; Cyanobacteriota; Cyanophyceae; Nostocales; Nostocaceae.
CCUUACCGGAUGGCUUACCAUGCAGUCGAACGGUCUUUUCGGAGAUAGUGGCGGACGGGUGAGUAACGCGUGAGAAUCUAGCUUUAGGUUCGGGACAACCAUUGGAAACGGUGGCUAAUACCGGAUGUGCCGAAAGGUAAAAGGCUUGCUGCCUAGAGAUGAGCUCGCGUCUGAUUAGCUAGUUGGUAGUGUAAGGGACUACCAAGGCGACGAUCAGUAGCUGGUCUGAGAGGAUGAUCAGCCACACUGGGACUGAGACACGGCCCAGACUCCUACGGGAGGCAGCAGUGGGGAAUUUUCCGCAAUGGGCGAAAGCCUGACGGAGCAAUACCGCGUGAGGGAGGAAGGCUCUUGGGUUGUAAACCUCUUUUCUCAAGGAAUAAGUUCUGAAGGUACUUGAGGAAUAAGCAUCGGCUAACUCCGUGCCAGCAGCCGCGGUAAUACGGAGGAUGCAAGCGUUAUCCGGAAUGAUUGGGCGUAAAGCGUCCGCAGGUGGUGAUGAAAGUCUGCUGUCAAAGAAUCAGGCUUAACCUGAUAGAGGCAGUGGAAACUACAUGACUAGAGUGCGUUCGGGGCAGAAGGAAUUCCUGGUGUAGCGGUGAAAGGCGGUAAAAAAAUAACGUUAACCAAUAACU